This 414-nucleotide ribosomal RNA is filed under the name uncultured microorganism. RNAcentral's name for it is "bacterial SSU rRNA". It matches the Rfam family "Archaeal small subunit ribosomal RNA", at positions 459 to 872 of the family's 1478-position model. The record is from RNAcentral.
CAGCCGCCGCGGUAAUACCGGCAGCCCGAGUGGCGGUCACUAUUAUUUGGCUUAAAGCGUCCGUAGCCGGGUUGGGAAGUCCUCCGGGAAAUCUGGCCGCUUAACGGUCAGAAUGCCGGAGGAUACUCCCAGCCUAGGGAGCGGGAGAGGCCGAGGGUAUUCCCGGAGUAGGGGGGAAAUCCUAUAAUCCCGGGAGGACCACCUGUGGCGAAGGCGCUCGGCUGGAACGCGUCCGACGGUGAGGGACGAAGGCCAGGGGAGCAAACCGGAUUAGAUACCCGGGUAGUCCUGGCUGUAAACGAUGCGGACUUUGUGUCGGACAAGCUAUGAGCUUGUCCGGUGCCGGAGGGAAACCGUUAAGUCCGCCGCCUGGGGAGUACGGCCGCAAGGCUGAAACUUAAAGGAAUUGGCGGG